GCCUCCAUAGCUCAGUGGUUAGAGCACCAGUCUAGUAAACUGGGGGUCGAGAGUUCGAUUCUCUCUGGAGGCA
Molecule: non-coding RNA, 73 nt
Organism: Hordeum vulgare subsp. vulgare (domesticated barley)
Lineage: Eukaryota; Viridiplantae; Streptophyta; Magnoliopsida; Poales; Poaceae
Source: Rfam